AACGAAGCGCUUAAAUGGAUUUCUUCGGAUUGAAGUUUUUGUGACUGAGUGGCGGACGGGUGAGUAACGCGUGGGUAACCUGCCUCAUACAGGGGGAUAACAGUUAGAAAUGACUGCUAAUACCGCAUAAGCGCACGGUGCUGCAUGGCACAGUGUGAAAAACUCCGGUGGUAUGAGAUGGACCCGCGUCUGAUUAGCUAGUUGGUGGGGUAACGGCCUACCAAGGCGACGAUCAGUAGCCGGCCUGAGAGGGUGAACGGCCACAUUGGGACUGAGACACGGCCCAAACUCCUACGGGAGGCAGCAGUGGGGAAUAUUGCACAAUGGGGGAAACCCUGAUGCAGCGACGCCGCGUGAGCGAAGAAGUAUUUCGGUAUGUAAAGCUCUAUCAGCAGGGAAGAAAAUGACGGUACCUGACUAAGAAGCACCGGCUAAAUACGUGCCAGCAGCCGCGGUAAUACGUAUGGUGCAAGCGUUAUCCGGAUUUACUGGGUGUAAAGGGAGCGUAGACGGUUGUGUAAGUCUGAUGUGAAAGCCCGGGGCUCAACCCCAGGACUGCAUUGGAAACUAUGUAACUAGAGUGUCGGAGAGGUAAGCGGAAUUCCUAGUGUAGCGGUGAAAUGCGUAGAUAUUAGGAGGAACACCAGUGGCGA
This 653-nucleotide ribosomal RNA is filed under the name uncultured Lachnospiraceae bacterium. RNAcentral describes it as "bacterial SSU rRNA". It matches the Rfam family "Bacterial small subunit ribosomal RNA", at positions 60 to 718 of the family's 1533-position model. The record is from RNAcentral. Lineage: Bacteria; Bacillati; Bacillota; Clostridia; Lachnospirales; Lachnospiraceae.